Molecule: ribosomal RNA, 305 nt
Filed under: uncultured bacterium
Lineage: Bacteria
Description: partial 16S ribosomal RNA
Rfam family: Bacterial small subunit ribosomal RNA
Source: RNAcentral
ACAGCAGUAGCCGCGGUAAUACGAAGGGGGCUAGCGUUGCUCGGAAUGACUGGGCGUAAAGGGCGCGUAGGCGGCAUGUACAGUCAGAAGUGAAAUUCCUGGGCUCAACCUGGGGACUGCUUUUGAUACGUGCAGGCUAGAGUGAGGAAGAGGGUUGUGGAAUUUCCAGUGUAGAGGUGAAAUUCGUAGAUAUUGGGAAGAACACCGGUGGCGAAGGCGGCAACCUGGCUCAUUACUGACGCUGAGGCGCGAAAGCGUGGGGAGCAAACAGGAUUAGAUACCCGAGUAGUCCCUGUCUCUUAUAU